CUCCGGGAAGUGCAAUGACCAGCUGCGAUCCCAGGAGGUUAAGGGUUCUCUGUCUGUGUUGGGCUUGGGAAUGCAGCACACGGAGAUGAGAAACAGAUGUCGGAGCUGGACUGAGCUUUUGCGCUCCCCCGCCCGCCCGGUCCUUUCCCCAGCAGCCAGGGUGUAACAAGGCAGCACUCAUCCUGUGGCCACGUGAACUGGCAGCUACUGGGUGCCGAUCCCCGUGGGGAAAAGCUACAAGAAAAACAAACAAACAAAAUAACUAAUAAAGAAGCUUGCCCUUGCUGGAAAGGCUGUGACAGGAGCUCAAGUCACUUUAGUUUGCAGACAGUGAUCCGCGCCCCCCCUUCCUGUAGUGGAUUCAAUAGGAGUUGUUUUUUGUUGUUUUGUUUUUGAGACCCGGUCUCACUGUGUAGACCAGGCUGGCCUUGAACUUACAGAGAACCGCUUGCCUCUGUCUACCAAGCGCUACUAUUAAAGGCAAGUGCCACCAAGCAUGGCCGGGUUUUUCUUUAAAACAAAACAAACAAACAAACAAACCCAAAACACAUUGAUUUAUAACUGCUGUCUGGGGGCCCUUUGUCAUGGAGAGGUCACUUACUGUGCGAGGAAGGCAGAGAUUUAGAGAGGUAGACCUAACAAAGCGCGGGUGGGGGAAGGGAGGCACCUGCGCAAAGUGUUAAAAACUGCUACUACGCCAGAUGCGCUAAAUGUGACGCUGUUCUUUACAACAGUGAUCCUCCUGCCUGCAAGAGCCAGGCCUCUGACUGCCUGGUCGCGGCGAAUCCAGGAGGUGCACAGACUGCAAACCAGGGGGAGAGGAUCAGCGCCUGCAGAUUGAGCUCCAUCUGAUUUGCAUGUUUAUUCCCUAGAAUUGUAAUUAAAUUUGUGUAAUAAAUGUUUUCCAUUUCAUUUGUACACUCAAAAUUUGGGUGACUGACAUGCGGCUAAGUAAAUUUCCUUUUUUUUUAUUUUAUGAAGCAAAUGUGCCUUAUUCAAUAAAGUAGCUAAUAUUAACCAUCACCAGGACUAA
Molecule: small RNA, 1033 nt
Filed under: Rattus norvegicus (Norway rat)
Lineage: Eukaryota; Metazoa; Chordata; Mammalia; Rodentia; Muridae
Description: uncharacterized LOC108352599
Source: RNAcentral